AGCAGCCGCGGUAAUUCCAGCUCCAAUAGCGUAUAUUAAAGUUGUUGCAGUUAAAAAGCUCGUAGUUGAAUUUCGGGGUUAGUAAGUUGGUCAUGCCUUCGGUAUGUACUGGCUUUACUGAUUCCUCCUUCUUGACGAACCGUGAUGUCAUUAAUUUGGUGUUGCGGGAAAUCAGGACUGUUACUUUGAAAAAAUUAGAGUGUUUAAAGCAGGCUAACGCUUGAAUACAUUAGCAUGGAAUAAUGAAAUAGGACGUUAAUCCUAUUUUGUUGGUUUCUAGGAUCGACGUAAUGAUUAAUAGGGAUAGUUGGGGGCAUUAGUAUUCAAUUGUCAGAGGUGAAAUUCUUGGAUUUAUUGAAGACUAACUACUGCGAAAGCAUUUUGCCAAGGAUGUUUUCAUUAAUCAAGAACGAAAGUUAGGGGAUCGAAGACGAUCAGAUACCGUCGUAGUCUUAACCAUAAACUAUGCCGACUAGGGAUCGGAUGAUGUUAAUUUUUUAAUGACUCAUUCGGCGCCUUA
This 520-nucleotide ribosomal RNA is filed under the name uncultured Glomus. RNAcentral describes it as "SSU rRNA". It matches the Rfam family "Eukaryotic small subunit ribosomal RNA", at positions 569 to 1090 of the family's 1831-position model. Lineage: Eukaryota; Fungi; Glomeromycota; Glomeromycetes; Glomerales; Glomeraceae. The record is from RNAcentral.